GAUCCUGGUGAUGACAGACGACAUAGUCAUCCAAUCCCCACAAGGGAAUGAGGACAUGUCCUGCAAUUCUGAGUGGAUU
Molecule: small nucleolar RNA, 79 nt
Organism: Fukomys damarensis (Damara mole-rat)
Lineage: Eukaryota; Metazoa; Chordata; Mammalia; Rodentia; Bathyergidae
Gene: SNORD96
Rfam family: Small nucleolar RNA SNORD96 family
About the family: snoRNA Z37 is a member of the C/D class of snoRNA which contain the C (UGAUGA) and D (CUGA) box motifs. Z37 acts as a methylation guide for 5.8S ribosomal RNA.
Source: Ensembl